Dendroctonus ponderosae (mountain pine beetle) is the source of this 534-nucleotide long non-coding RNA. RefSeq lists it as uncharacterized. The transcript has 3 exons. The record is from RefSeq and is a predicted model, not a curated record. NCBI's taxonomy places the organism in Eukaryota, Metazoa, Arthropoda, Insecta, Coleoptera, Curculionidae.
ACUAGGACGAACGCGGGCUGAUUUUCUCGCGAAAAUUUCGGAAAUUUGCCGAGUUUUACGGCUUUUUCCCCCAAUGGGGCAGUUUUUCUCAACCGGAAAGGCCUUGGCCACAGUUAGAUGGUAUUUUCCCGGCCGUUAGUGCAAAUUUAGCGAAAAAAACGCUAUUUUUCAGUUGCGCGAUGUGUGCUGUCAGUGCGGUGACAUUUUGGUGCCAAUUUGGAGGUUGGAGAACUUUUGGAGUUUUAGCAGAAGUUAACCCCCUAAUGAUCAACAUUUCGAGCACAACCUUUGAUCGAGAAAACCAUCGCUGACACAUCGAAUCGAGCUUUUUAAAAGGGGGAGAUCUACUGGAAAUUUAGGAUUUCGAACAAGCAAAUGCUUUUAGUCACAAUAUGGCUCAACUUUUCACUGCUGUGGUUUGUUUGGAAAAAUACACUGGUUUUCCUCAAGUUUAGGCCAAGAAAAUGAAUGAUACUUCACAGCCAUAUCACAAAUAAAAUAAGCUCGUAGAAAUCUCAGAAAACAAACCUUCAA